GACGAACGCUGGCGGCGUGCCUAAUACAUGCAAGUAGAACGCUGAAGGAGGAGCUUGCUUCUCUGGAUGAGUUGCGAACGGGUGAGUAACGCGUAGGUAACCUGCCUGGUAGCGGGGGAUAACUAUUGGAAACGAUAGCUAAUACCGCAUAAGAGUAGAUGUCGCAUGACAUUUGCUUAAAAGGUGCAAUUGCAUCACUACCAGAUGGACCUGCGUUGUAUUAGCUAGUUGGUGAGGUAACGGCUCACCAAGGCAACGAUACAUAGCCGACCUGAGAGGGUGAUCGGCCACACUGGGACUGAGACACGGCCCAGACUUCUACGGGAGGCAGCAGUAGGGAAUCUUCGGCAAUGGACGGAAGUCUGACCGAGCAACGCCGCGUGAGUGAAGAAGGUUUUCGGAUCGUAAAGCUCUGUUGUAAGAGGAGAACGAGUGUGAGAGUGGAAAGUUCACACUGUGACGGUAUCUUACCAGAAAGGGACGGCUAACUACGUG
Molecule: ribosomal RNA, 495 nt
Filed under: uncultured bacterium
Lineage: Bacteria
Description: partial 16S ribosomal RNA
Rfam family: Bacterial small subunit ribosomal RNA
Source: RNAcentral